AAUGACAAAACGGGAAGAAACCCCACAGGGAAGCAGAGCUGCCUUCGUGGAUGUCGCGUAUUGUGUGCACACGCACAACAGCUGCAGGACGUGCGAACGACGCGAACAUCCCAUCCGCACGCACAGGGUGGGGAUAGGUCCUGCGCGUGUCUUAUCGUGCGCACGUAAUCCGUCCGCGUGUCACCUCAUGUGCGGACAAGCACUGCACAUUAUGCACGCGCCGUCCAUGCAGCAAGCCU
Molecule: long non-coding RNA, 239 nt
Filed under: Carica papaya (papaya)
Lineage: Eukaryota; Viridiplantae; Streptophyta; Magnoliopsida; Brassicales; Caricaceae
Description: long non-coding RNA (CPAP_LNC000975)
Source: RNAcentral